UACGGAGGGUGCAAGCGUUAUUCGGAUUCACUGGGCUUAAAGGGUGCGUAGGUGGCUUUGUAAGUCAGUGGUGAAAUCUCGGAGCUUAACUCCGAAACUGCCUUUGAUACUGCUUAGCUUGAAUCAGGUAGAGGUGGAUGGAAUAUUACAUGUAGCGGUGAAAUGCUUAGAUAUGUAAUAGAACACCGAUGGCGAAGGCAGUUCACUAUGCCUGCACUGACACUGAGGCACGAAAGCGUGGGGAGCAAACAGG
This 253-nucleotide ribosomal RNA is filed under the name uncultured bacterium. RNAcentral's name for it is "partial 16S ribosomal RNA". It matches the Rfam family "Bacterial small subunit ribosomal RNA", at positions 524 to 776 of the family's 1533-position model. The record is from RNAcentral.